This 783-nucleotide ribosomal RNA is filed under the name Streptomyces sp. LKS-181. Its description in RNAcentral is "bacterial SSU rRNA". It matches the Rfam family "Bacterial small subunit ribosomal RNA", at positions 56 to 854 of the family's 1533-position model. Lineage: Bacteria; Bacillati; Actinomycetota; Actinomycetes; Kitasatosporales; Streptomycetaceae. The record is from RNAcentral.
UGCAAGUCGAACGAUGAAGCCUUUCGGGGUGGAUUAGUGGCGAACGGGUGAGUAACACGUGGGCAAUCUGCCCUUCACUCUGGGACAAGCCCUGGAAACGGGGUCUAAUACCGGAUAACACUCUGUCCUGCAUGGGACGGGGUUAAAAGCUCCGGCGGUGAAGGAUGAGCCCGCGGCCUAUCAGCUUGUUGGUGGGGUAAUGGCCUACCAAGGCGACGACGGGUAGCCGGCCUGAGAGGGCGACCGGCCACACUGGGACUGAGACACGGCCCAGACUCCUACGGGAGGCAGCAGUGGGGAAUAUUGCACAAUGGGCGAAAGCCUGAUGCAGCGACGCCGCGUGAGGGAUGACGGCCUUCGGGUUGUAAACCUCUUUCAGCAGGGAAGAAGCGAAAGUGACGGUACCUGCAGAAGAAGCGCCGGCUAACUACGUGCCAGCAGCCGCGGUAAUACGUAGGGCGCAAGCGUUGUCCGGAAUUAUUGGGCGUAAAGAGCUCGUAGGCGGCUUGUCACGUCGGAUGUGAAAGCCCGGGGCUUAACCCCGGGUCUGCAUUCGAUACGGGCUAGCUAGAGUGUGGUAGGGGAGAUCGGAAUUCCUGGUGUAGCGGUGAAAUGCGCAGAUAUCAGGAGGAACACCGGUGGCGAAGGCGGAUCUCUGGGCCAUUACUGACGCUGAGGAGCGAAAGCGUGGGGAGCGAACAGGAUUAGAUACCCUGGUAGUCCACGCCGUAAACGUUGGGAACUAGGUGUUGGCGACAUUCCACGUCGUCGGUGCCGCAGCUA